This 404-nucleotide ribosomal RNA is filed under the name uncultured microorganism. RNAcentral's name for it is "bacterial SSU rRNA". It matches the Rfam family "Archaeal small subunit ribosomal RNA", at positions 330 to 735 of the family's 1478-position model. The record is from RNAcentral.
GUGCACCAGGCGAGAAACCUCCGCAAUACACGAAAGUGUGACGGGGCCAUCCCGAGUGCCGUCCGCUGAGGACGGCUUUUCCCCAGUGUACACAGCUGGGGGAAUAAGGAGAGGGCAAGCCUGGUGUCAGCCGCCGCGGUAAUACCAGCUCUCCGAGUGGUGGGGACGCUUAUUGGGCCUAAAGCAUCCGUAGCCGGCUGGGCAAGUCCUCCGUUAAAAUCCAACGAUUCAAUCGUUGGGCUGCGGGGGAUACUGUCCAGCUUGGGGGCGGGAGAGGCCGACGGUAUUCCCGGGGUAGGGGUGAAAUCCUAUAAUCCCGGGAGGACCACCAGUGGCGAAGGCUGUCGGCUAGAACGCGCCCGACGGUGAGGGAUGAAAGCUGGGGGAGCGAACCGGAUUAGAUA